AAUUGGCCCAAGAAAGAAAAUCAUUCUAAAAUUUGACAGAUGUCUAAGUGAUGACAGUGAGCACUGUAUCUUCAGAGACAGAGGUGCAUAGGGUCUUCUUAUCUGAAGGGGAGGCUCAGCCUAGGACUCCAGCACAUGACCUCACUUCCUUGGUGACAGGUCCAAACAGACCUUGGAACCCUGUCACCAGGCACCACGGUCUAGCGCCAACUGCCCUCCCAGUCACUUGGCUGGAAAUAGGCAGCAGCGAACAUGCUGUGCUGCUUUCCCAGGCCUCCAGGCCGCAGCCUCGGACCCCACGCAGGGAAACCACUUGCCAACGAGUGAGAGGAUGGUUCACUCGGCCCAGAAGCUUCAGGACCCUCAUCAGGAACCACCCAACAGUCACGGGCAGCCCAGGGCAGGUCUCACCAGACCCAGCCCCCAGAUGCCCAGAGACGAGAGAGAGCCCAGGGCAGGUGUCCCGAGGCCUGACUUUCAUCUGCUCAGAGGCACCGAAUCCACUACAGGUCUAUGUAGACCUGGACACCACUAUGGGAAAUCAGUAUUCCCAGAGCCUGGCAGAGGGCUGCACAGCGAGCAAGGUGCAGGCAAAUGCACUGCACACCCUGACAGAGGCCCCAGAACAGGACUUCCUGGAUAGGAAGAGCAGGUCCACCUCUUCUGUCCUUGACUCCUCACUGGAGCUCAACCCCCAGGUGGAUUCCCUGGGUGAGUUUCUCCUGGACCAGCUGGAGCCUCCUGAACCCCCUGAGGCAGAGCCCCAGGAGGACUGUGUGCCAGCUCCAGCCUCCGAUGAAGUCCCACCUGCUGACCUCCUGCCCACUCCACCUGCAGCUCCCUCACCAGCUCUGGCCCCACAACGAGAGCCAACACCUGGAACCUCUUCACCAGCUGCAGAGCUGGAACUCCUGGUGGCUCAACAGCAGAUCUCAUCUCUUGAACUCUACAGGGAGGUCUACAGAGCUCUUGACCCACACCCGCCAUUCCCCUCUCUUACUGAUUUACUUAUUAUUGUAUUUAUUGCUACCCUUAUUUCUCAGAGAUAAGUCAAUGAUAGAAUUAAUGUAAAUAAAAUUUAAGAUUUUUGUCUUGUUUAAAAUGAUCAGCUCACUGCAUUCUCAGUCAUUUGCAAUGUUGUGCAACCUUCACCACUGUCCCAUUCUACAAC
Long non-coding RNA from Heterocephalus glaber (naked mole-rat), 1171 nucleotides. NCBI's taxonomy places the organism in Eukaryota, Metazoa, Chordata, Mammalia, Rodentia, Bathyergidae. The record is from Ensembl.